RNAcentral lists this ribosomal RNA (231 nucleotides) under uncultured bacterium. RNAcentral's name for it is "partial 16S ribosomal RNA". It matches the Rfam family "Bacterial small subunit ribosomal RNA", at positions 524 to 752 of the family's 1533-position model. The record is from RNAcentral.
UACGUAGGGGGCGAGCGUUGUCCGGAUUCAUUGGGCGUAAAGAGCUCGUAGGCGGCUUGGCAAGUCGGGUGUGAAACUUACAGGCUCAACCUGGAGAUGCCACCCGAUACUGCUAUGGCUCGAGUCCGGUAGGGGAGCACGGAAUUCCUGGUGUAAGCGGUGAAAUGCACAGAGAUCAGGAGGAACACCAGCAGCGAAGGCGGUGCUCUGGGCCGGAACUGACGCUGAGGA